Molecule: ribosomal RNA, 764 nt
Filed under: Jaculus jaculus (lesser Egyptian jerboa)
Lineage: Eukaryota; Metazoa; Chordata; Mammalia; Rodentia; Dipodidae
Description: partial 12S ribosomal RNA
Rfam family: Bacterial small subunit ribosomal RNA
Source: RNAcentral
GCAAGCCUCCCCAUACCAGUGAGAAUACCCUUAAGUAUCUAAAAUGAUUGUAAGGAGUAGGUAUCAAGCGCACUAGCGUUGCUCAAGACACCUUGCUUAGCCACACCCCCACGGGAAACAGCAGUGAUAAAAAUUAGGCAAUGAACGAAAGUUUGACCUAGUUAUACUAUUCAGGGUUGGUCAAUUUCGUGCCAGCCACCGCGGUCAUACGAUUAACCCACAUUAAUGAAUUCACGGCGUAAAGCGUGUUUAGAGAACCCCCCCCCCCAAUAAGGCUAAACUCCGACUAAUAUGUAGAAAUUCAUAGUCUGAAGUAAAAUAAACUACAAAAGUGGUCUUAAAAUUCUUGAAGACACGAUAGCUAGGGGACAAACUGGGAUUAGAUACCCCAUUAUGCCUAGCCCUAAACAGAGAUAGCCAACUAAUAAGGCUACCCGCCAGAGAACUACUAGCAACUGCUUAAAACUCAAAGGACUUGGCGGUACUUUAUAUCCACCUAGAGGAGCCUGUUCUAUAACCGAUACACCCCGUUCUACCUCACCACUUCUUGCUAAUUCAGCCUGUAUACCGCCAUCUUCAGCGAACCCUUAUAGGGAAAAAAAGUAAGCUCAAUAAUUACCCAUAAAAACGUUAGGUCAAGGUGUAGCUUAUGAAGUGGAAAGCAAUGGGCUACAUUUUCUCUCUCGAGAACAUAACGAUACCCUUCUUGAAACAGAAGGAAUAAGGAGGAUUUAGUAGUAAAUUAAGAGUAGAGUGCUUAAUUG